AAGCAGAGUGCUGACCUUACUCGUGGCCUGUGACCCUGGCAUUUGGCCAGCCAUUGUCACCCAGGGACCAGGAGAUAGAAUGCUGGCUGUGCAAAACCUCCAAGGUAAGGGAUUUCUUCCCCUCCGAGUUACAAGGUGAAGCCAUUUGGAAGAGCAGUUGAAAGGGGUCCUGGGCUGUGCCUACUGCUCAUAUCCAGUACUAAGAAAUAACAAAUCGUCUGGGAGGAGCAGUGGAGCUGUGGAGUCAGGGCUGUGUCUCUUGUGUUUGUGAGUCCAGCAGACAUGACCUGCUCUGUCCUCAAGCCACUUUCCAACGAUCAUCAGGAGGACACUUCCAGCACUGGUCUACAGCGAAAUGUUCUUUUACUCUCAACCCACAAUUCCCAACCCUUCUCCCAGCUGAAAGUACUGGUUAAGCUUUGUAUAAAUUCUUCAGGCAUUUUCCUGUUCAUUUACAAAAGUACUCUAUUUUAUCAUUCUCUCCAUCUUGAUGAUUACCUCACCCUAUUCAGUCAGAAAUAUAUCUCAGAAAUAUAUAUAUCAGUCAGAAAUAUAUCUCAAUAUAUAAAAUUUUUGACUUCUUUUUCCAUUUGUAUUUGUACACUCAGAGCAUUGCUUUCAACUGCUGUAUACAAUUCUAUCAUAUAGGUAUGCUACACUUUAUCUAAACAUUCCUUAUUGGUGCAGAUUUAUCUUGCUUUCAGUUUUUCACUAGUUCAUCAGUUAAGAUGCAGUUAACAACCCUUUUUCAGAGAGCUAUU
RNAcentral lists this long non-coding RNA (761 nucleotides) under Oryctolagus cuniculus (rabbit). Its description in RNAcentral is "lncRNA (ENSOCUG00000029970.1)". The record is from RNAcentral. Lineage: Eukaryota; Metazoa; Chordata; Mammalia; Lagomorpha; Leporidae.